GGAAGAGCUGUUCCUACCCAAGCUACAGAACCACCCAGUUCUUCAAUUGGAUAAAAGGCCAAGCAGCCCCAGAAGACCUCAUCGGAGCUUAAAGAAACCAUCACAGCCCAGGAGCUCAGGAAAAUUGGACAGAGUGGUUGGACCAGGAGCAGAGAGAAUCUUAUCAUGAGUAGAACUGACCCCAAUUCACAUACCCAAGCUUUGUAUCCAUGAUCUGUGUCCACCCUGGAGAGGAGAAGGCUAAAGGUCACUGUGGGGUGAAGGAAAACCACUAGAACCAAAAGUGGAGUAACUGGACUGGAAGAUCGGGGAGAUGCCACAGUUAGAAUUCAGCUGAAUUUGGAUCACAGCUCUUUGGUCAUCACAGUAGGGAUUUAUGUAUAGAGAGAAAGUGGUGGUGUGUGGAGUCUGUUGGGGGCUAUAUUCCAUCAACAUCAGUCCACUCUUCUCCAUGUGCUUGAUGAGAAUCAGCAGUCUACUGGAAACCAACCCAUUAAAUCAGCUUUAAUCCUCAUCAACCAAUGACACUUGCAUUUUAACAAGUUUCAUUUGCAAGUAUUAGAGGAGCCUUACUUCCUGGGAAUUUGUGACAUCUAUCAGCAUGUCUUGAUCCUUCAAGGGAAGACCCUCAUAGCAAUUCCUGAUGAUGGAGUGGUGCACCCAACCAUACUGGUGAGCACACCAUGCCAAGAUCAGUCUCUUGAAAAAGACAAGGCAAUCCUAUUUACCUGGGCAUAGCAGACCCUAAACUGUGUCUGUGCUGUGAAGAGAGUGGAGGGCAGCCCAUACUGAAGCUCAAGGAGAGGGACAUAAUGGAAUUAUAUCAUAACCAAGAAGCAGAGAAGCCUUUCGUAUUUUUCCAAAGACUAGAUGUCAACAUUUCUAACUUUCAAUCAGCUGCUUAUCCUGGCUGGUUCAUCUCUAGUUCAAUGGAGAUAGGGAAACCCAUCAAAAUGACCAAGGAUGUGGGAAAAGAUCAUAUAGCCUUCUAUUUCAAUUAAUUGAGCCUGGUCUGGGCCAAGUAGCCUCAGUUCAACAAAAGGCUGUCCUGUUUACAUGGUACACCACAUGUUCCAAAACACUUUCAUAUAUAUUAUCAUUUAUUAUAUAUAUAUAAUUAUUAUAUAUUAUAUAUAUUAUCAUAUAUAUAUAUAUUAUUCUUAUGCCUGUGUUGAGAGACAUGAAAUAUAAGUAGGCUGUGUUCCUGCCUUCUAGGGGCUUAGAUUUAAUACCACUGAGUUAAAUAAACAUAUAUGUCAACCGUAUAUGUCAUUGAGAUAGAAGUCCUGGGUGACUGAGGCUUUUAGUAUCUCAACUUCUGAACUCCCCAUCCAGCCAUUUUCCUUCCCAUUCCCCAAGGGAGCAGCCACCUAUUUGAGCAGUUUCUAAUGAUGGGGGGAAGGCUGACAACAGACACGGGUGACUUGACCAGGUGGAACUUGGGAAUUUUUAUCUUCUGGAAUUGCUCUGAGGAGGAUGCUUUCCAGACCAGAACUGUCCCAGGUGCUGAAGUUUUGCUGCUGUUUCUCAAACCUAAAGCAUUAGCACAAAGGUUCAUGGGGAAUUUUCUAAAAAAAAAUAUUAAAGAUGCUGUCCCCAGUGGUCUAUGAAUAUGAACUGAGUGAGUUUGUCAUAAUGUUAGGAUUAUUACAAGAAGAUGGGUGGGCAUAUAUUCCAGCAUGA
This is a long non-coding RNA of Vombatus ursinus (common wombat), 1683 nucleotides long. RefSeq lists it as uncharacterized. The transcript has 8 exons. NCBI's taxonomy places the organism in Eukaryota, Metazoa, Chordata, Mammalia, Diprotodontia, Vombatidae. The record is from RefSeq and is a predicted model, not a curated record.